This is a long non-coding RNA of Dipodomys spectabilis (banner-tailed kangaroo rat), 2834 nucleotides long. RefSeq lists it as uncharacterized. The transcript is spliced from 3 exons. NCBI's taxonomy places the organism in Eukaryota, Metazoa, Chordata, Mammalia, Rodentia, Heteromyidae. The record is from RefSeq and is a predicted model, not a curated record.
GCUCUGAACUGAAAAAUCUGAAAUCCAGCUUGGAAUUCACACCUAUCCUACUGUCAUUUGUCUUGUGAGUAGAUUGAUUAAAAUUAGCAUUGCUUCUCCAUUCCUCUGUCCUUAAAUGUAACAGUCUAGUUGAAGAUAAAAGAUUUUAGUUUGUUGUCAAUGGUUCUGAUUUUCAAGAUCAGGUCCACAGUGGUUUAUGAUAGAACCCUUGGUAAUUUUUUCUAAUUGCCAGAAUGGUCUGAUAUGCAAUAGGCUUGUUUUUAUUUUAGAGAAGGUACACCUUAGGUAUGUAGCUUUGCCUUAAAGAUGCAUUUUUUGCUUUGUAUUGUCUUUUACAACAGAAUUACUGAGCAAGUUAUAAUGUGUUUUAAAGGACUUUCUGUGUAAACAUAAUAACAAAAUUGUAAAGAAGAAAACUGGGCAAACGGAUAAGGAAACUGGAUAUUGCUAGGCUCAAGGAGGUGAACAUGAUGGUGCAGUUCUAUAAUUCUAGCUAGUCCAGGGAAUAAGGUUGAGAUUCAAGAGUAGCCCACACAAAAGUUCUCAAGACUUGGGUUUUGGUGGUGUGUGCCUGUCAUCCCAGCAACUUGAGAAGUGGAAAUAAAAAGAUCCAGCCUGGCCCAGACAAAAAUUAAGGCCUGACUGGAAACAUGAAAAAAGGACAGAGGAAGAUCCUAAAUUUAAACCCAAUACUGUCAAUAAUAAAGAAAUUAUGGUAAAGAAGGGGGCUACAAUCUUGAUAAGAAAUGUACUCAUUAUCUUGUCCAUGUAAUUGUAACCCCUCUGUAUGGUAUUUUCACAAUAAAAAUUUAAAUUUAAAAAAGAAAUUAUGGUAGAAAAAUUUCCAAAUGCUAUUUAAUAUAUUAAUAUCUGAACGCAUACAGCCCAGUAUGGUAUCAAGAAUGAACUUUUUUUUUGAAAAUUUGAAUAAUUUUAGUAAAGGAAGAGUCUAGCUACUAUUAGGUAAGAUUCAUUCUUUUAAUUAAAUGAAUGAAAAUAUACAGUUUCAGUGGUAUCAUAGAAACAGGCUGUUUUGUAAAAAAGAAAAAUACUUAGUACCCUAAAUUAGGUAGGUCUAUUUGUCUUAUUUCUUUCCCACCAUUUUAGUUCUUUUAAACUUUUAAAAAAUACUUUUAUUUACUACUCAAACAUGUUUUUGAAAGAGGUGGACUUUUAAACAGGUUGAAAACCAUUUAUUAACAAUUCCCUAAAUAAUCACUAAAAACACCCAUUAUCUAAAUGCAAUUAAAAUUGUUCUAAAUUAGUAAAUACGCUAGUAGUAGAUUUCAUAUAACUUUUCUAUAUAACUUUUGCUUUGGAUGUUUCUUUUCAACUCUUGUUUUUUGGUUAAAUGUCUCAUUGUACAGCUGACCUUGAACUUUAACCUGUAGCUCCAGAUGGCAUAAAACUCACUUUUCUCAUGCCUCUGCCUCUUAAGUGCUGGGAUUCUCACAGCUAGCUACAAGGUUUUUUUUGUUAGUGAUUUGUAUUUACUUACAAUAGUAAUGAAUUUAUUUUUAAGACAAAGCUUUAAAAUACUCAAUUUUUCUUCAAUGUGGAAUGUAAUUAAAAUACAAUUAAUAUGUAAUAUGCAUUUCAAAUUCACUUGUACUAUCUACUGCUUAGAAAGUAAAUAUGACUAAUCAUAAUCACUUCAUAAUAAGCUUUCUCUAGAUUUCAUUUUCAGCUACAUUGGAACUCUUCUCAUGUUUGGGUGACAAUUUGCAAGUCAGUACUCUUUAGUAAUAUUCUUAAUUUGCUAAAGAUUGAGCUUUUCAUGUGAAAUCAUGGUAUCACUUAUUUUUACUUUUCUGAUUUUAGAAAUACUGAAGGAAGCUUAAGAGAAGUGGAACUGUGGUUCAGCUUAAGAAUUAUAUAUAUUGUCUGAGAAGUCUUUUCAUAUUUAAUUCAAACAAGGAGAAAUGGUAUGAUUAAAUAACUAUAUUUUUCAAAGGUUGUGCCUAACUGCCUUUGAAGGGAGUUCACUACUGUGAUAUUAGGAAUUUUUUUUUCUUCAUCAUUGAUCUUGGGGGGAAAUUUUUACUGUAUGACUUACUAUUUACAACAUAAAUGCGGAUAGAAACAGCUGUCUAGUGAGAGAAUUAGCAUUGCUCUCUAGGACAUGCUGUUCUGCAACUCUCAUGUGAAUACCAGAAAAGUGGCUUCCUGUGUUAGGUACUGUUUUAAUGUAGUGUAGCUCAAAGUGGUAUAUACAUACACUGGAUACCACAUUGUAAGUACAAUACACUAACAAAUAUCAGUCUGUUUAGGUGGAAUGAUUUCUCAGCUGUUAGGGUUGUCACAGAGCCCAAGUACAUGUGUAAUUUUGAGCUAGCAUCAUAGUGCAUAGGAACCAGUGGUUGGUAUAUGCUGGUCAUCCCAUUAGAGUAGAUGUGUUUGGAUCUUAGUUAAAUUACUAAGUACAAAAUGUUUCGUGGUCCACGCCCCAAAAAUGUUUACUUUUUCCCUUAUACGCCCUAGAAGGAAAUUUUAAACAAUCACACAUUUCAAAUAAAAUGGACAUCUCAUUAUUCUAUUUUAAAACUUCAACUGAUGCAUAAUAUUUGACUUUUCUGCAUAGGUUCUUGCAAGGUCUUUCUGUGAAGAGAAACAUAUGUUUGUAAUUAUACCAGGACAAGGUCUACUUAUUAUCCUGGGGAAAAAACUACAAAAGAAAGAAGUGACAGUAUUGAAGGAAAUUGACAGAACUUCCAUAAAACCAAAGACUGGCAGAAACAAAGUAAAUAAUGAUGAAACUAAGCUACAGAUCACCCAGAAGAAGUAUCUCCUUCCAAAAAAAAAAAACUGUGGCAUUUCACUCUCUGAGAAACAAA